Molecule: long non-coding RNA, 916 nt
Filed under: Lytechinus variegatus (green sea urchin)
Lineage: Eukaryota; Metazoa; Echinodermata; Echinoidea; Temnopleuroida; Toxopneustidae
Description: uncharacterized LOC121420034
Source: RNAcentral
AUCAUGACAUAAAAUCAUGCAUAGCUUAUGUCGUUGACAUAAAUUCCGUUGCAUAAAAAUAUUUCUGUAUUGUUUUAGCUUAUGUCAAGUUAUCACGCGAUAUACAUAAACUGAAUAGUCAUGAACGAGCCUGUUGACAUAAACUUGGCAUAAGUUGUCAUUUUUCAGCCGCAGGAAGCUCUUGCGAAAAAGGGUCUUCGGCUUCCUAUUUGGACGGGAAAGAGGCAUAUUUUGGUGACCCACACAAACGGUGAGAAGAGGUAGAGAGAGAAAGGGGCACAGCAACUGAAAGGAGAGGGAAGUCCAGACACUCUACCACGGUCUGCCAUUGAAUAAGAAGUCUCUCUUUGGAUCAGGGGGUCAAGCUUCUAGUAUGAAGAUUGUUCAAGAGUCAAGACUGUUGAAGAGGUGACGUCAUGGACCUGGUAGCACCUGGCAAGGGAACUAUAUUACUGUUCAUAAAUCUAUUACUCAAGUAUCCUAAAAACGCUUUAAAAAUUUGAACAUUAACAAAAGUACUAAUUUUCAUUUUUCAAAGAUAAUAAUUAUAUUGACAUUGUGAAUAUAUUUUAUGAUUAUCAUAAAAUUAUUAUAAUGUAAAUGAUGAUAGGUCAUACUAAUACCAAUGAACAAUAAGUAGAAAAAAAGACAACCAAGAAGGAGGAGGAAAAGAAGAAAAAGAAGAGGGGUGGAAGAGGAGAAAAGGAGAAGAAGAAUAAAUUACAACACUGAGUUCCUCUUCAUGAUAUUACAGAAAUCUUCAUCUUUAAGUGGAAAUAUUUAUGAAUAAUAUAAUAUAUAAUGUAUGAAAAAUACAUUUUAUUUAAAUCCAAGUUCCACUUUUAAUCAUGUUUAUAAAGUCAUAGGACAGGUGACAAGAUAACAUUGUUUCACAAAUUUUAGUGUGUAUUUAUUU